GAGUUUGAUCCUGGCUCAGAACGAACGCUGGCGGCAGGCCUAACACACGCAAGUCGAGCGCUACCUUCGGGUGGAGCGGCGGACGGGUUAGUAACGCGUGGGAAUAGACCCAGUGUCUAAGGAAUAGCCACUGGAAACGGCGAGUAAUACCUUAUACGCCCCUCGGGGGAAAGAUUUAUCGGAAUUGGAUUAGCCGCGCGAUAGAUUGAGAUAGAUUGGUGGGGGAAAGGGAAAGGAAGGAR
Molecule: ribosomal RNA, 242 nt
Filed under: uncultured Alphaproteobacteria bacterium
Lineage: Bacteria; Pseudomonadati; Pseudomonadota; Alphaproteobacteria
Description: partial 16S ribosomal RNA
Rfam family: Bacterial small subunit ribosomal RNA
Source: RNAcentral